Molecule: ribosomal RNA, 484 nt
Filed under: uncultured bacterium
Lineage: Bacteria
Description: partial 16S ribosomal RNA
Rfam family: Bacterial small subunit ribosomal RNA
Source: RNAcentral
AUUGAACGCUGGCGGCAUGCUUUACACAUGCAAGUCGAACGGCAGCGCGGGCUUCGGCCUGGCGGCGAGUGGCGAACGAGUGAGUAAUACAUCGGAACGUGCCCAGUAGUGGGGGAUAGCUCGGCGAAAGCCGGAUUAAUACCGCAUACGACCUGAGGGUGAAAGCGGGGGAUCUUCGGACCUCGCGCUAUUGGAGCGGCCGAUGGCAGAUUAGCUAGUUGGUGGGGUAAAGGCCUACCAAGGCGACGAUCUGUAGCUGGUCUGAGAGGACGACCAGCCACACUGGGACUGAGACACGGCCCAGACUCCUACGGGAGGCAGCAGUGGGGAAUUUUGGACAAUGGGCGAAAGCCUGAUCCAGCAAUGCCGCGUGUGUGAUGAAGGCCUUCGGGUUGUAAAGCACUUUUGGCGGGAACGAAAAGGACUGUGCCAAUACCACGGUUCGAUGACGGUACCCGCAGAAUAGGCACCGGCUAACUACGUG